This 512-nucleotide ribosomal RNA is filed under the name uncultured bacterium. RNAcentral describes it as "partial 16S ribosomal RNA". It matches the Rfam family "Bacterial small subunit ribosomal RNA", at positions 28 to 507 of the family's 1533-position model. The record is from RNAcentral.
GACGAACGCUGGCGGCGUGCCUAAUACAUGCAAGUCGAGCGAGCGGAACUAACAGAUUUACUUCGGUAAUGACGUUAGGAAAGCGAGCGGCGGAUGGGUGAGUAACACGUGGGGAACCUGCCCCAUAGUCUGGGAUACCACUUGGAAACAGGUGCUAAUACCGGAUAAGAAAGCAGAUCGCAUGAUCAGCUUUUAAAAGGCGGCGUAAGCUGUCGCUAUGGGAUGGCCCCGCGGUGCAUUAGCUAGUUGGUAAGGUAAAGGCUUACCAAGGCGAUGAUGCAUAGCCGAGUCGAGAGACUGAUCGGCCACAUUGGGACUGAGACACGGCCCAAACUCCUACGGGAGGCAGCAGUAGGGAAUCUUCCACAAUGGACGCAAGUCUGGUGGAGCAACGCCGCGUGAGUGAAGAAGGUUUUCGGAUCGUAAAGCUCUGUUGUUGGUGAAGAAGGAUAGAGGUAGUAACUGGCCUUUAUUUGACGGUAAUCAACCAGAAAGUCACGGCUAACUACGUG